This 21-nucleotide non-coding RNA is filed under the name Caenorhabditis elegans. The record is from RNAcentral. Lineage: Eukaryota; Metazoa; Nematoda; Chromadorea; Rhabditida; Rhabditidae.
UAUUCCGCUAGGAAUCAGUGG